GGGAAACUUUCCGCAAGGCCCCGGCGCGGAGCUGGGCGGGCUUGGUGGCGCUGGUUUCACGGUGGGUUCGUGCUCCGGAGCCUGCCGCUUCUGCGGACCCGGCCAGGGCUGCCGCUGCCUCGGGGCUUUGGUGUCGGGGCAGGCGGUGCCGGUCGCGGCUCUUUGGAAGCAGGGCGGAGCCCCGCGCCAGGUGGCACAGCGAGGUUUUGUCCUCCUCUCCCGCCGCAUCCCCCCGUUGGUGCCAUCUCUUGGACAGUUUGGGACUUGGUGGUCAGUCCAGCUGCUGUUGGUUCCACCUCUGGUAUCUGCAGCUGGGGAUGCCGAGAUGGGAUCAGACACAGGAGACCUCCGCCAGCACUAACCGGGAAAAGCUGCUCCCGGUGUGCUGAGCGGUGAGCCGAGCCCGGGACCGCUGAGCGGGCGGGUGACACGGUGAAGGACACCGGGAGCGUGCCCGGUGCUCUGUACAGCAUCAUGCCCAGCUGAGUCCGCAGCAGAGUGUCAGAGGCCGGUGAGCAAUUCCAGCCUCCCGGCCAGGCAGCGAGACGUGACAGGCUCGGAACCUACUGACCAUUGUGGGGGCAGCUGGGGGAAAGGAGAGCUGCCUCCUCACCUUGUAACAUCCCUCAUUCCACUUGUCCCUUUCUGUACUUUGCAGCUUCCCCUGACUGCACUAAGUCCCCAUAAUUAUUAAAGAAAAAAAUUGUUUUAUCUUAAAGCAGCCAGAGCUUCCUUAGUUUUCCUCUACAUCAUUUCCUUUUCCGGGACAGAAAUUUUUAAGUGUCUAACCUCACACUAGUAGGCUUUUUUUCUUCGAAACACCAGCCUUCGAAACCCUUGUUGCCACGGGCACUGUAGCACCAGCUGCAGCCAUGCAGCUUCUGCAGGACACAGAGCAGGCCAGUUGUCUCUCACUUGGGUCCAGAGAUUUGACAUUUACCAUUUAUUGGGUUUCUAUUCACUCUCUUCCUCAUUCUACAGACCCCACCUGGCAGCUGGUUUCCUUGCCACUUUGGUGAGGGGCUUCUUUCUCCUCCUCCUUUAUCAGCUCAGCUCAUUUUGUUUGCUGUCACCUCCCUCCAUCACUCAUGCUGGGUGGGUCAGGAUUUACCUCACACCUUGUGCUUUCCCUCGAGCAGCAGUUCACUGUGCCAGUGCUGCUGGCAUCUGGUGGCACAGAGACUGAGGAGUGUCUCUGAGUUCUUAGUGAGCAUUUGACUCACCCAAGCCUGAGGCGUGGUUGCUAUGCUUAUCUCUUGGAUUGGAAGGAUGGGUGCUGGAUUUCCAAAACCCAAAGCAGGGUCCCAGCACCACUGGUAGAAAACUUUUUCCCCAGACGUCCCCACAAUGACUGAUAGAAAGGCUGCAUAGUCCCAAGGAAGUGGGGUGUAAGUAAUGUGGGCAGGUGUGACCAGAGAUGAUGGGCAAGGAGAGAUGACAAACACAAUAAAAUCACAAAUGAUAUGGGGAAUCAGCAGAAGCUGUCAGCGUAUCUGACAACAGAGGAUCCAUAUGGGUGUAGUAGCUUUAAACAAAUAAAUGUAACUCAUGCAUCUUAUGCACAGCUUGAUAACGUGAGAAGUGGAUGGCUCUAGGAUGCCAUGAACACCAGAGGCAUGAGAUUCAAAAGGGAUUAGCCAAACUUACAGAGAGCAGAUUUCUCAGUGGUUAUUAAAAAUGUCUACCUGAGUCAUCUUACAGUUCAUGAGGUCCCUGAACUGACUCUUCAGGUAUUGCUAUUCUGUACUCCCUCUGCUUGUAUGGUGAAUUUAAGUGAGGUGUCUGAGUUGAUCUUGCAGCUGCUGAUACAUGCAGUUGAAUGUCCCUCGUAAAAUUACUUGUAUGUGCUGCUUCUUCUGCACCAGUUCUGGCAUUUGUUCUGUUUAUCAAACAAGCAGGCAACUAACUCAGAGUGAAUACUUCUCUACCUACAGUGAGUUGAAUUAGCCCACUGUUUUCUAAUCCAGUGGUUCUUGCUUCUCUCUGCAAAUUAGAAGUGGAGAUUCUCCUGAUUCCAGGUGUUUGGGUUUUAAGUAUUUAGAAGAUCUGAUUCAUUAUAAGAUCCUGAUGUUUGUUGAAUUAAUUCCUAACGGCUCUGACAGAGCUGGAGCCUUGGUUGUGUUAGGUUCCACAGAGUUUAGGAACAGUAUUAAACACAGCAAGCAGGGAAAAAGAAACAGGAUCAUGCUUGUGUGAACGGAAGUGCUGCAUGGCUUGCUAGUCUCACAUCAUUAUCAGCAGUCUAUAUGGCAAUGUAAGUUUUGUUGGGUUUGGGGUUGUGUGUAUGACUGUUUCUUGUUCCUAGAAUCAGCUAGGUGCCACCAUGAGUCCCCACAGAAGCCUGCAGCCAUGUCAAGGUAUGGUAACAAAAGCACUGAGAAGCCUGCAGCACAUACGAAACAGGUUGAUAUCUUGUUAGUUUGUACUGCUGCCAUCUUCCUCUCACUCAGAAAACAUGUGCAGUCCAGUGAGAACACCAUCUCCUCAAACCAAGGGCUUUCAUACCCAUCUUCACCAGCUGCAUAAGGAGCCAGAACCUGACACACCUGGACAACACCAGGAUGGGGAGUGGCAAUUGCUGGAAAUCAUAAACAGGAUUUACACACACUAUGAGUAGGGUUUGUCUGAAUACAUCAGACAUCUCCACCACUGAUUCUUCUACACAAGUCUCAUUUCAAUCUUGCAGCAUAGGUAAUGUAAAUAAUGUCAUUAAGCAUUAUGAGGGGAUGUUUCACCUCUUCCUGGAGCAGACAUCUUAAAAAUGUCAGCUGAAGUAGGUCUACACGUGGGGCCAGAAGGGGUGCAUUUAAGGAUGCCAAGGGUGCUUGCCAAUAUAAUUUCAAAACUGGCACCGUAGCUACAGCUGUGUCUCUUGACAUUUGUUCAAGGACUUGCAAGGUUUACUGCAGAGGGAGUUGUGAACUCAAUAAAGAAAAGCAGGAUACCAAGUAGUUUCCAUGGUAGUUCAAAAUUUGAAAUUGUCUAUCCAUCAUUAACUGCUACGGAAUAGACAGGAAAAUACAAAGCACCACAUCUUCACAGAUACCUUUUGUUAGAAUAUCAGAGUGGUAAAAAAUUAUAAUUGUCAAUGAAAGCAUUCUGACACCAGGUAAAAAAGCCUGUUCUGCAAAAACAUUUCCAUCAUAUCAAGGACUUAUUACAUAUACAAAACAGGAAGAGGACUUUUGAGCAUGUUUGUUUGUGAAGAUGUGAUCUGUUCAUCAAUAGGACUUUGUAUACUUAAGUAGUCUUACAUAUUGUUCUUUUGUUCCUCUGUGCAUUUUGUUCCUAUUGUGCAUUUGUUCUUUUGUACUCCCCUGACAAGGAGCUGUUUUCCAGUUGGUGAGCAUGGUGGGAUUUCUUCAACCCUCAGGCUUUCAAUGACCAUAUUUCUUUCACAUAGCAAGGUUCAGGUUUGUCCUGGGAGGAAUGAUCAUGUUCCAUGUUCAUUGUCCUGCCAGUCUUCUGUCAUGGUGACUCCACAUUGCUGACAUUCAUCCUCUUCCCUGGUUGUAGGAAUAAUCUGCACUGGAAUUUAAAUGCAGGGUGCUGCAGUGAACACACAUGCUUUGACAUAUAUUUAGCUAUUUCUUCUAUUUUCAAUAAAUGUUACAAUAUCAUUGAAACAACUAUCUUCUUGGACAUAUCAAUAUGUACUUCUAUACAAACAUAACAUGUUUUAACUUACCUUUGUGCUCAAUAUUGCUAGAGCUUCACUGGAGAGGCACUGAGAUAUCACUCAGCCCUCAUGUACUUUAUGUGGAAUACAUUUGUGUGCUCUGGACUGCAAUUCACAGAGUGUUGUAAAACACGGUAAAUACGGACAUUGAUCUCCGUGACAUGAGAGCCUCCUCCUUCCAACUCAGAGGCUGUGAGUGUUAUUUAAUUUAUGAUCAUCUCUAGCAAGUGUUUUCAUCUGCCAGUUCCAUAUCACUGUUUUUUCCAAUAUAAAUUACUGAGGCCUGCUAUCAAAUAUUUACUAACAAUAAGAAUGGUGUAAUAUUAGACCAUGUGCAUUUUAAAAUUAACCUAUAACCUAACCAAAGAAAGGGCCUACUUUGUUUACUCUUGAAUGAAACAGUGUCAAAGAAGAGUGGUGGAUCACCUUCCUACCAUGUAUUUUACCAUUCUCUUCAUAAUUGGAAAUCUUCAAGAGUAGGAAAUACAGGAAGAGAGCAACAGCAUGGUUGAUACAGGCAAGGAAUGGACUAGCCAGCCUCUCAAAGGCUCUUCUAGGGCCAUGAUCUGUAAUUUUAUGUUUCCCACUGAGCAGGUGAAUCACUCAGGGAUCUUGGAAGUCAUCACAAACUGGCCCAAAGGCGAACAUUUCAGACUAUCAUCAUCAGAGGAGGAUGAAACGUUGACUGCUGGUAUAACAGCAAAUUGAACAGUACAGGGACUGGCCUCAGGUGUGGGAGUUCAGUUGCCCACACUGGUUUAUGGUUCAAGCCUUCCCCCGUGGGCUGUGGCCUGUGUCAGCUCACAUGUCCCCAGGCAAUGCAGCAGCACAGCUCAGGAGUGAGCCAGGCGAGAACUGCACUGGCAGUGGCCACUCUGGACACACUUUAAGAGGACACUGUGUGGACAUGGCAAUGUGGUGGCACCACCCAAAUCUCUUAAGCUUGACAGAGCUAGAUCAGUGCCCUUUUGGGAGGGUAAAGGAGCCAUAUCCCAAACAGAGCAGCCUUAAAUGCUUUCUGUGAGAGAGGACUGCCCUAGUGUGACCACACAACUGCUCUGUCUGACUCUGCAGCAUGUGGGUGGUCCUGGUGUGGCAAGCACAUUUCUCUCCCUCUCAGGAUUUUUCAUAUAAGUGCACAGAGAGAAAUGAAAGAGAAAACAAUUUCUAUUUCUGCUCCUUGUUUUUCCUAUGUGGAAUGUGUUUGGAGAAUUGUUUACCUGGGGUGAUGCUUGGUUGGAUUCUGGUGAGGAUUGUUUGAGCCUGAUGGCCAAUCCAGCCCACAUGGGGCUGGACUCUCAGAGAGGGUCACGAGUUGUGUUAGAGAUAGAGAA
Molecule: long non-coding RNA, 5013 nt
Organism: Taeniopygia guttata (zebra finch)
Lineage: Eukaryota; Metazoa; Chordata; Aves; Passeriformes; Estrildidae
Source: Ensembl